GCGCCAGACUCCUACGGGAGGCAGCAGUGGGGAAUAUUGGACAAUGGGGGGAACCCUGAUCCAGCGACGCCGCGUGAGUGAAGAAGUAUUUCGGUAUGUAAAGCUCUAUCAGCAGGGAAGAAAGAAAUGACGGUACCUGACUAAGAAGCCCCGGCUAACUACGUGCCAGCAGCCGCGGUAAUACGUAGGGGGCAAGCGUUAUCCGGAUUUACUGGGUGUAAAGGGAGCGUAGACGGCAUGGCAAGUCAGAUGUGAAAGCCCGGGGCUCAACCCCGGGACUGCAUUUGAAACUGUCAGGCUGGAGUGCAGGAGAGGUAAGUGGAAUUCCUAGUGUAGCGGUGAAAUGCGUAGAUAUCAGGAGGAACACCGGUGGCGAAGGCGGCCUGCUGGACUGCAACUGACGUUGAGGCCCGAAAGCGUGGGGAGCGAACAGGAUUAGAUACCCGCGUAUUC
RNAcentral lists this ribosomal RNA (453 nucleotides) under uncultured bacterium. RNAcentral's name for it is "bacterial SSU rRNA". It matches the Rfam family "Bacterial small subunit ribosomal RNA", at positions 328 to 795 of the family's 1533-position model. The record is from RNAcentral.